Molecule: long non-coding RNA, 869 nt
Organism: Bos grunniens (domestic yak)
Lineage: Eukaryota; Metazoa; Chordata; Mammalia; Artiodactyla; Bovidae
Source: Ensembl
AGCUAAAAGAAGAAUUAGAAGAAAGCUGCAUGAAUAAAGAUGGGAUCCUUCAUGAUACAGAAAAGACCUCAGCAGAGCAGUACGAAAGAGAAGCAGCUAAGAGGGAAAAGGAUUCUCUUGAGCAAAAGAUUAAAGAGCUGCUACAAAUGUUAGAGAACCAAGAAAGAGCCUUCAAGAUAUUUAGAGUCAAAAUCACCAGCAAGAUGAGAGAAAGAGACAAGCUUCUGAGAAGGAUGAACAAGAGGAUUGAGAGGCUGGAGAUCUUAAGAAAGAUAAGGGAAGAACAAGAGGAAUACUACAUGAAGAAAGAGGAGCAGAUCAAAAGAGAGGCAAGUGAGAGGGAAAAAGACCCUUCUGAGCGAAAGGUUAAAGAGCUGCAGAGACAGUUGGAGAACCAAAAGAGAGUUUUGGAGAGAUUAACAGCCAGAGUGAGAAAGGAGAUAAGAGAAAGAGAGAAGACCUCAGCAGAAGAGUGGGCCAGAGGAGAGGCAACUGAGAGGGAAAAGGAACCUCUUGAACAAAAGGCUAAAGAAUUACAGUCAAAGAUGGAGGGCGACAGAAGUGCCAUCUUGAAGGAAGUUAGACUCAAAACGACAAAGAUGAGAGAAAGAGAAAACCUUCUAAGAAGGAUGAACGAGAGGUUUGAGAUGUUGGAGAUCUUGGGGAUGAUAAAGGAUGAGCUAGGGGAAUGCUGCAAGAAGACAGAUGAGCUUUGUAAUGCAGCCAAGACCUUGGCAGAAUGCACUAAAGGAGAGCCAUCUGAGAGGGAAAAGGAGCUUCUUGAGCAAAUGGUUAAAGAAUUGCAGCAAAAGUUGGAGGACCGAGAAAAACCUUCGAGAGAUUUAGAGACAAACUCACAAAGGAAAUGA